UACCGUGAGGGAAAGUUGAAAAGCACUCUGGAGAGAGAGUCAAAAGACCGUGAAACCGCUCAGAGUAUAAGCCCAUGGCAGCUUGGAAGGCAUAUCGCUAGCGGGGCACUGGAAUCUGACCCUUAACGGGGGAGGGGAGCCGGUGUUACCUUGCUUUUGUUGUGGCUCGUCAAGGUAGGGGGGUCAAGUCCACAUCCCGCCGACGAGUGGAGAGUUCUCGGGUGCGUUGAUGCUUGGCGGUUGACUUCGGUUGAUCGUCGGGCUCUUCGUGCUUGGUUCUCUUUGUACACGGACGUUCAGACUCAAUUGCAAGACGCGAUAACCAGCCCACCACGGCACGUUGUGAGGUCACCCACAGGCUCGACUUUCGAUCGUGGUCCUUGACGCCGAGCAAGCACAAUGCGUGUCGCAGAUGUUCCUUACCAGGCAGCCAUCCGCCAGGAUCGUGGAACGACACGCGCUCAACAGUCAGGACCGGGCGAUGACAGAGUUCUGGUAUGAUCCUCUUGCGACGAGCCGGCUUCUGGCCAAAAUUCCGAUGCACAGUUCUCCCGCAUGUGCCGCGGGAGAUCGAGUCGACGGUCUGGAGCUUUCACAAGUCCUCUCAGUCGGGCAACGGAAAGAGUGGUGUAAAGUCCAAGCCCAUCGGUCACGUCUCGAAACACGGGCCAA
RNAcentral lists this ribosomal RNA (672 nucleotides) under Gammarus koreanus. Its description in RNAcentral is "eukaryotic LSU rRNA". The record is from RNAcentral. Lineage: Eukaryota; Metazoa; Arthropoda; Malacostraca; Amphipoda; Gammaridae.